AAAAAAAGUUCAAUUCAGUGUUGUCAAUUUAGGUAUAUUUCAUAAAACUUAUUUAGAAUUAAAUGGGCAUUUUUAAAAUUUUGUGAAAAAUCUGCGUGGUAAUGGCUGAAAAUACCAUUAAACAGUUCUUCUAACCUGUGAAAAUUAAUUCAUAAAAAUAUGUCUUCUACAAUUCAACACGAUCAAACUCAAUCAACAUCAAAUCAUCUUAUUUCGUUUUCGGCAAAUUUCAUUAUAAAGGAAAUAAUUCCCUUUUUACAAGACUAAAAAAAAAUUUAAAUGUUUACACUCAUUGAAGUAAUAAAAUUAAUGAUUACAAAAAAAAUUUUCGAACUAUUAAA
RNAcentral lists this unclassified non-coding RNA (341 nucleotides) under Hevea brasiliensis (rubber tree). The record is from RNAcentral. Lineage: Eukaryota; Viridiplantae; Streptophyta; Magnoliopsida; Malpighiales; Euphorbiaceae.